RNAcentral lists this ribosomal RNA (460 nucleotides) under uncultured bacterium. Its description in RNAcentral is "partial 16S ribosomal RNA". It matches the Rfam family "Bacterial small subunit ribosomal RNA", at positions 338 to 795 of the family's 1533-position model. The record is from RNAcentral.
CCUACGGGUGGCAGCAGUGAGGAAUAUUGGUCAAUGGCCGGAAGGCUGAACCAGCCAUGCCGCGUGAAGGGCAGGGUCCUAUGGGCGUUAAACUUCUUUUGUGCGGGAGCAAUAAUGGUCACGUGUGGCCAGACGAGAGUACCGUACGAAUAAGCAUCGGCUAACUCCGUGCAAGCAGCCGCGGUAAGACGGGGGAUGCAAGCGUUAUCCGGGUUGAUUGGGUUGAAAGGGGGCGUAGGCUGUGAGGUAAGUCAGCGGUGAAAUGCCCCCGCUCAACGGGGUGAAGUGCCAUUGAUACUGCCUUGCUGGAAUGCGGAUGCCGUGGGAGGAAUGUGUGGUGUAGCGGUGAAAUGCAUAGAUAUCACACAGAACACCGAUUGCGAAGGCAUCUCACGAAUCCGCGAUUGACGCUGAUGCACGAAAGCGUGGGUAUCAAACAGGAUUAGAUACCCUGGUAGUC